Molecule: non-coding RNA, 1586 nt
Organism: Sus scrofa (pig)
Lineage: Eukaryota; Metazoa; Chordata; Mammalia; Artiodactyla; Suidae
Source: RefSeq, a predicted model, not a curated record
AAAAGACAAAACAAACAAAAAAAGCAAAAAAAACAAUUUCUAAAACUUGCAUAUAUUACUUCUAUUGGCCAGGUGUCUGUCAGGAAAGAGAAACAUACUCACAAUGAAAGAAUGAAGAACAUUUAAAGAAGUAAGCUUUCAGUAGGUAUAGGUAUGUUUGAGAGAAUCCCACCUAAGGUAGUGAAGCAAAAGGAAAUUUUCAUCAUUAAGAGGGAAGUGAAUGGUUUUUAAAGAGAGUGGCUAUGCUGUUUUAUUUAACUAUGUAAGAAAGACAUGAACAUGUUUAUAAAACCACAAAUAGUUUACCAUAGCUAGAAAGCAGUCAAUCUGGAUCUGUGAACUACUAGCAUCACAUUAAGACUUUGAAAGAUUAUGAGAACCUGGUAAAUAGUAAGGAAUUUAUUUCAAGAUCCUCAAGUUCUCUAAAUUUGAUGUGCCUGAGAAUGUGCCUUCCAUUAAGUCCUCAAGCUGGAUGGAGUUUUGAGAUAUUACAAACUAUGCUGGAAUGUUGUAAAUUCCAAUGCAUUCUGAAGUGAGGCAUUCUCCAGGGCGUUCAACCCACCAAGGCCACUGUAGGAGUGUGUACUGCGCAUGCGACUGUCUUGAGUUUCCAGGAAACCAGACACCUGGAGUUCAAGGGUUGUGAGGAGCUGCUAAUUAGACCUGGUUCACAGGGGACCCAAAGUGCCUAAUUCCAAUCCCCGUCCUAUUAAAUGGUGCCUAUUCCCCAUAAAGGCAGAGCGGGGGGUAGGAGAGAAGUAAAAAGUCUUGUCAGGGCGGAUGGGGAGGGUCUACCCCGGGGUCCUCCACUUAGAGACACCUGGGAAACCUGCUCGCUGGCGUGGUUGGGGCUGCUGGAGGCCCGCGCAGGAGACCAAAUGCGCAUGCGUGUGCUGUGCCGCUCCCGGGGGCAAAGGGAAACGAGCAGCAGCCCGGAGCCAGGCCAGGCCCGACCCAGUUCAGAGGAGAUUAUGAGUUCACGUCCUCCUGGGAUGCUUCUCUGAAAUGCCAUCCUCUGCUGGGCUCUACCAGAGCACAUGUAACCUCACUAUACUUGCAGAGUACUCCCUACCUGUUUGCAUUGAUUAUCACAAGAUUUGUAUGCAUGGGCCAUAAGAGACCAAGGAUCAGAUGACAUGGUUUUAGGCCUGAUUCAAACUCAGCACCCUAGAAAAGGGAAAAACAUUCUUCUGGCUCUCAGCGUUGUCCAAGAAACUAACAGGUCACUGUCUCACAAACUACAUGCUGAACCCCUAGUGGGACCAUGAAGAUACUGUGAGUUUUCUUGAUGAUCAGAGCAGAGGAGACCCACCAGUGGUGAAGUGAGGGAGCAAAGAGAACAGCUGCUGGGUGGCUGUGUGGACUGCGUCAGUGGCUGCAAGGACUCCUCUAAAGAAGAAUCUCGAUGCCGCUCUUACCGGUAGCAAGCGGGGCUCCAUCCUCCAUCUGUCUUCCAGAGCCAGCUGAACAUUUAGCUGAAUAUAUAUCUUCCUUGACUCCUGGCAUGGGAGCUAGCUGCAGAAAAGUCUGAAGGAACCUGACUUUUCCCUCUACACAGCUUCCUUUUCUAUUUGGAUGACCAUAUC